GACGAACGCUGGCGGCGUGCUUAACACAUGCAAGUCGAACGGAAAGGCCCUGCUUUUGUGGGGUGCUCGAGUGGCGAACGGGUGAGUAACACGUGAGUAACCUGCCCUUGACUUUGGGAUAACUUCAGGAAACUGGGGCUAAUACCGGAUAGGGGCUCCUGCUGCAUGGUGGGGGUUGGAAAGUUUCGGCGGUUGGGGAUGGACUCGCGGCUUAUCAGCUUGUUGGUGGGGUAGUGGCUUACCAAGGCUUUGACGGGUAGCCGGCCUGUGAGGGUGACCGGCCACAUUGGGACUGGGAUACGGCCCAGACUCCUACGGGAGGCAGCAGUGGUGAAUAUUGCACAAUGGGCGGAAGCCUGAUGCAGCAACGCCGCGUGCGGGAUGACGGCCUUCGGGUUGUAAACCGCUUUCGCCUGUGACGAAGCGUGAGUGACGGUAAUGGGUAAAGAAGCACCGGCUAACUACGUG
RNAcentral lists this ribosomal RNA (468 nucleotides) under uncultured bacterium. Its description in RNAcentral is "partial 16S ribosomal RNA". It matches the Rfam family "Bacterial small subunit ribosomal RNA", at positions 28 to 507 of the family's 1533-position model. The record is from RNAcentral.